Molecule: ribosomal RNA, 253 nt
Filed under: uncultured bacterium
Lineage: Bacteria
Description: partial 16S ribosomal RNA
Rfam family: Bacterial small subunit ribosomal RNA
Source: RNAcentral
UACGUAGGGCGCGAGCGUUGUCCGGAUUUAUUGGGCGUAAAGAGCUCGUAGGCGGCCUGUUGCGUCCGCUGUGAAAACCCGGGGCUUAACCCCGGGCUUGCAGUGGAUACGGGCAGGCUGGAGGCAGGCAGGGGAGAACGGAAUUCCCGGUGUAGCGGUGAAAUGCGCAGAUAUCGGGAGGAACACCGGUGGCGAAGGCGGUUCUCUGGGCCUGUACUGACGCUGAGGAGCGAAAGCGUGGGGAGCGAACAGG